CGCGAGAUAGAGUAACAGUAACUCAUCUGACUCAUAAUCAGAAGAUUGAAAGUGCAAUUCUUUCUCUCACAACCA
RNAcentral lists this transfer RNA (75 nucleotides) under Caudoviricetes sp. RNAcentral's name for it is "tRNA-Met". It matches the Rfam family "tRNA". From Rfam's summary of the family: Transfer RNA (tRNA) molecules are approximately 80 nucleotides in length. Their secondary structure includes four short double-helical elements and three loops (D, anti-codon, and T loops). The record is from RNAcentral. Lineage: Duplodnaviria; Heunggongvirae; Uroviricota; Caudoviricetes.